RNAcentral lists this ribosomal RNA (253 nucleotides) under uncultured bacterium. RNAcentral's name for it is "partial 16S ribosomal RNA". It matches the Rfam family "Bacterial small subunit ribosomal RNA", at positions 524 to 776 of the family's 1533-position model. The record is from RNAcentral.
UACGUAGGGGGCAAGCGUUGUCCGGAAUCAUUGGGCGUAAAGAGCGUGUAGGCGGCCAGAAAAGUCCGCUGUGAAAACUCGAGGCUCAACUUCGAGCUGUCGGUGGAAACUUUCUGGCUAGAGUCCGGAAGAGGAGAAUGGAAUUCCUGGUGUAGCGGUGAAAUGCGCAGAUAUCAGGAGGAACACCGGUGGCGAAGGCGGGUCUCUGGGCCGAUACUGACGCUGAGGAGCGAAAGCCAGGGGAGCAAACGGG